AUUGAACGCUGGCGGCAGGCCUAACACAUGCAAGUCGAACGAGUGGCGGGCGGGUGAAUAAUAUGUGGGAAAGUGCCUGAUAGGGGGGGAUAACUACUGGACAGUGUCGCUAAUACCGCAUACUAUCGGAUAUGCCCAUAUGGGAUUAGCUAGUAGGUGGGGUAAAGGCUCACCGAGGCCACGAUCCCUAGCUGGUCUGAGAGGAUGACCAGCCACACUGGGACUGAGACACGGUCCAGACUCCUACGGGAGGCAGCAGUGGGGAAUAUUGCACAAUGGGCGCAAGCCUGAUGCAGCCAUGCCGCGUGUAUGAAGAAGGCCUUCGGGUUGUAAAGUACUUUCAGCCGGGAGGCGUUACCGGCAGAAGAAGCACCGGCUAACUCCGUGCCAGCAGCCGCGGUAAUAC
This 406-nucleotide ribosomal RNA is filed under the name uncultured bacterium. Its description in RNAcentral is "partial 16S ribosomal RNA". It matches the Rfam family "Bacterial small subunit ribosomal RNA", at positions 30 to 526 of the family's 1533-position model. The record is from RNAcentral.